RNAcentral lists this long non-coding RNA (7852 nucleotides) under Sus scrofa (pig). Its description in RNAcentral is "lncRNA (ENSSSCG00000061847.1)". The record is from RNAcentral. Lineage: Eukaryota; Metazoa; Chordata; Mammalia; Artiodactyla; Suidae.
UUUUUUUUUUUUUUUUUUCAGUUUUAUUUCAAACAUUGAGAGUACUGAUUUGCACAUGGUAGUUCUGAGUCAGGCCAAGGGUUUUGAGAUUUCUGACAUCUUCCACUGAAAAGGGCUUUCACUGUAGUUGUUUUGUUGUUUGUUGUGGGUCACUUGAGUUUAAAAGAAAUUGCUAGCCAAAAACUGAAAUCAAAUCAACAUGACUAAAAUAAGUGGGUGAAAUGGUAUAGAACAUUACUGCAUUCCCAUUGGAUCAAGAUGGUUUCGCCCAUUUUUUCCUCUUUCACUAACACUGUUCCUUUUUUCUUUGUUACAAUCCAUUCCUUGUGAACAUACAGAAAUGACCAAAGUCACUGCAAGUGGCUGUUUUUAUUUUUUGUGAUCUGUUGCAAGAGUCCAACCUUGUUUCCUCUGCUGCUGUUCCUGUAGCAUCUGGUUUUGUAAUGAGCAUCUGGAUUUGUUAUGUGCAUGUGUGUGUAUAUGCACAUAUACACACCUAUACAUGUAUAAUAUAUACACUAUAUAUAUAUGGAUAUAUAUAGGAAGUGUGUAUACAUUUAUACAUAAUAUAGUGUAUAUUGUUUCAACUGGAGAUAAACUGAACUGGGUUCAGACACUAGCACGUGUUUAUCUUUCCCCUGCUCCCUCUGUACAUUUUAAACAGUCUGGAGCUUUUAUUUAUUUUUUUAAAGUGCAUUUUCAAUGCAGAAUAACUGUCAUCCACUGAUUCCUUGGAAAACAUUUUUGAUGAGAAAAAUCUGACGGUUCGCAGCCCCCAGCAAAAGAAACCCGGGUUUGGUCGUGCCAGGGGCUGACGUGGCAGUGCCAGGCUCGUGCCUGAGUGAUUACUGGGUGUUCUGGACUCCGGGCACCUUAGCAGCAGCAGCAGCAGCACCUUGACGAGAAGGCAGAGAUAGAAGAGGAAGAAGGAAGGAAAGCUCGGAUGAGGAAGCAUGAGUUUAGGGUGUGUUCCAGGUUGCAGGUGUUAACUUUGUGUGGAUUUGUGCAGUCUCUGCUUGGCUUCGGCUAAGAGAUACCACCUAGUCCCCUCUCCACCAACGGACACUACCCUCCUCACGCCCCGCUUGCUCAGGCGUCCCCACUUCCGAGGCCAACUUGGGAGUCAGCUCCCCGUGGGGAUGUGAGUGCCAGCGUCCAGUAGGAAUAAGGCACCAGAGAAAUCAAAAUGUUACAAAAAGAUGCAAAACCCCAUUUCUAAGAGCCUCUCCCAUUGCUCCAUUAAAAUAUUGCAUGUGAUACCAUUCGUGUGUACUUCAAGUGUGUCGAAUGCAGUCUCUGAAAGGAACCGGAGGCCCUUCAGCACCAGAGAUCUUUAGGAAUGCACCCUUGGUCGAAACACACCCACUCCCCCCACCCCCACACCCGCCCCACGCCACACACAAGAGCACCAAAUUGGGAGAACAAGGCUGCUUGCCAUUGCUCACCUCAGUUUUGAUAAAGAUCAAAGAAGUCUAUGAAAUAAAAAUUUCAGCAGUUGCCUUAAAAUUAAAUGGGUUUAGGCUGUCAGUAUCUGGUGGCUUGAGGCUCUAAGUGUCCACAGAGCAUGAUGAGGGGGUUGAACUGUUUGUGUUAAUGUUUGGGGGAACGUGCUAAACAAAAAUUACUUCCUAAACAACACCCAAGUCCUCCACUAAGACUUUAACCUCCCCUAAUUUUUUUAAAUAUUGUAAAAAGAAAGAGGUUCCUCAAACUAUAAAAGGAAAAAAUGAAGGCACAUGAUUUUAUUCGGUCCCACAGUCCUUAAGAAAAAUGGUAUUUUGCAAAUGUGUGUGUGAGUGUGUGUGUGUGUGUACAUGUACAUGCAUGUGCACAUGAAACGGGAGUCCAAGGGCCAUUGAGGCAGUAGUCCAAGGGGAGCUGGAAAAGAACAAGAGAGAAUUUUGAGACAGAGAGAAGAAAGGAGAAAGGAGGAAACAGAGGCCUCUCUUCAGCUUUCUGUCAUUGACAGUCUCAAGAUUUGGCUGCUUUAGGGUCCAGAACGGAAUUCAUUUGUCUUGGUCUAGAAAGUGCCCCCAGUUAAAUAUCUCCAGUUAAUCGUGUUACAGCUUUUGGUGUUUCCCUUUUCCCUUCCCUCCAGCCAAAUGAUUUUUUAAAGAAAUCACAGUUUUUAAAAGUUAUUUUUUCAAUGUUGAAAAACAUGGAAAAGCUACUGAACAGCCUUAGGCACUCUGCCUCUCCAUCUUCACAGUGAGCAGAUGGACGGACAAUCCACGGUGUCAAAGAUGAGGCAGGCAAGAUCCCUUGUGCUAGAGGGUCCCUUGCCCUACCUCUCCCGAGAGGCUGGAAGUACCUGCGCAGCACUGACAGCCGUUCCUUUUCAACUGGAUCUUCCCUCCCCCUACCCCCUCCAUGGAAGGUGCUGGGCUCGAGAGAGGCUGAGCCACUCAUGGAGAGUGAUGGAAAUAGGAGGGUCUGAGAAGCCAAGGGUGGAAGCCGUGGGGGGCUCUCUCCUCAGGCAGGUCAGCACUGUGCUCUCUGCAGCCUCGAUGCAGGAUGGGGAAAACGUGGGUGCCCGCUGAGUAGUGGAGGUCCCACUCACACGCACUUCAUGAGACCUCAACUCUCAGGCUCACCACCUUCGUGCCUCCGUUGCAUCAGAGCUGGCCCUGGUCCUUAUGAAGGCAACGGAACAAGACAGAGAGGCAGAGUCAACUGGCUACAUCACACAAAAAGGGGCUACUACGGACAGUGGGAUCUCAGAAACAAAUUUAACUUUGGUUUUCUGACUUUUUCAAACCAUGAAAAUUAAAGCAGGGUUUCAGUGGCUUCGUUCAUCUGACAGCUGUGACAUUUUUUCUCAUUUGGCAAGGCUAAGGUGGGGGGAAGAGAAAAGGGGUUUCCCAUAAUUGGUCGAAGACACAGGGUGGUAAAAUGCUUCCACACUUAAACUCACAGUCCAGUGUUUUUGACAUUUCAUAAAUAGCUUUUUUUUUUCUCUCUAAAAAAAGAAUAAAACAAGAACAAUCCCUUUACUUACUCAUCUGAAACAAAAUAAACAGCAGUGGGUACAAACUUCUUCUUGUAACAAUUACAAAAAACAACAAUAUAAUCCCAACUUUUAACACGCAUCUUGAAUCAGUUAUUUUUUUUUUAACCUCAAAACUGCAGCAUAUCCUUAAGGGCAAACUUUUCGAUUAGUUUUUUUCUUUUUUUUUUAAAUAAUGUCUUCACCAAAAAAACAGUCUUGUACCAAUAAAAUGCAUUCAAAAAUAGAAAAUAUUACACAACAAAAAUAUGUAUCCUUCCUUUCCAAAAAAGAUUCUUCACAAAAAAAUGUAGAAAAAAUUCCAACAAUUUUUUUCCUCUCCUAAACAUUAACUUUCAGUCUAGGGCACAAUUAUUUAUUGAUUUAAAUGUCUGCUUUUGCAUAAAACAUGGAAGAUGCAAAACAAUUACUGUAUUAGGUUUGUGAAGUUACAUCCACUCCCACCCCAACUCUAAAACAAAACAAAACCAGAAAAACCCAGCAAACGUGAAACAAAAGAUACAGUUGGUUGACUGGAUGAAAUCUCUUUCCUUCCAUCGUGCCUUUGUGUGGGUUAACUGGCUCUGUUGGUAUCUAGGAAUGCUCGAGAAGGGGAUCAGGGUGGAGUCAAGAGGUUCUUUAGCAUUAAAUGAUGUCCUAAGGAGUCACUUGCAGUCUCCCGUGUUUUGGGGCUUAUCUGCUGCAAAUCCUCAUGGAGAAAAGAAACACAUGAGGAUGGGCAGAGGACUUAACUGUGUUCAUAUGGGUACCUCUACACAAGCCAGUUUCUCCACCAUUGCACGUAUUUCCCUCCUUACCAUGGAGUUCAGGCGUGGGAUGAAAGGUAACGGAGAGCUCCAGUGGUACACGGAAGGCUGGGGCUAUUUCCUCUGUGGUCACGUCAUCCGUAUUUAACUGGUUUGGACAUUAACUGGAGCAAUGACAUGAUCUCAAAUCUCAAAGGAAUGCCCUAUUUUCCCAUUCCCAUAUUGAACCCAGGCAUCGUUUCUAUUUCACUGUGGUAGCUUAACGAUACAUAUUUCUUAUUUGAUGGUAUUUCUCUUUUGCGUGGGAUGCGUUUUGUAUAUGUAUUCAGUACAAAUGGAUUUUUUUUCCCCCAAGCAUUUUUCCCCUGUUGCUUAUUUGGUUGCUGGUUUUUUCUUUGCGGUUUUUGUUCUGUUUCGUUUCUGAUUUUUUAAACAGUGAAAUAUGUCCAAUUUUAUUUCCAGUGCAUUAAACACAUUUUAAAUUAAAAAAAGAAAUAAAACUUUCCCCUCAUCCUUCUAAAGGAAAUGACUGAUAAAAGUACAAUAUAAUAAAAUCAGGCAUUGCCAAAAAUAGCAUGAUGUGCAACCUCAAUUACAUCAAGAAAAACAAACAGACAAACGAGAAUUAUAAACCGUAAGCAAGAAGGAGCCAAGACUAUAUAAUCCCAACUAUGGUAUGAUUGGCAAGCACUGGUUAAAAAUAGGUAAGGCUACUCUUAGAUUUCUAACUCAACAUAGUUAACCACUGCUCUUCUGUCUUUUCUUUCAACUCUUAAUCUUUCACUCACUAGUUCUUUAUAUCUUUAAAAUGAACAAAUUUGUUUUUAUAUUUUUGGUCUACAGUAGAAUUACAUAUUAAUAAUAUAAUAAAAAGGUAUUUCAUUAACAGGUUGGUACUGCAUCCAUGUGGAGAAAAUAGAGAAAAAGCACUCAAACAAACAUAGCAAAUGGACGCUACUUUUACAAAAAUAACCACAAAUAUAAUAGAAAUUAUAAACAGGGCAACAGACUGAACUGAAAGAUAUAUUUGGGGUAAUACAAACUCCUGAUAAGCUAUGCCCUAGAAUCGCAGCCUCCAAACCUUUCCUGUGAUGUCCACCUUUCCAUAGUAUCACUUGAAAUUCAAAUGGAAAUGGAAACAAAAUGAAAAUAAAGUGGACAGGUGGCUGGGCCAACCAAAGCUUCCAAGUUAUCUUAGUUGACUGGUCAAGACCAGCUGGAUAGCAUUUGAGAAACUGGUAGGCCACAGGGGAGACACUGAUGGUAUUUGUUUUUAAUUUUGGAGGAGUUCCCAGCCCACUGAUAAAGAGAGAAACCAAGGAACCAAAUAAUUCUUCUGGUAACAUAUAAUAUACGAGAUGAAAUAGAACUGCAAUAAAGGGGACAUGGGGGUGAGGUGGGAAAGAGAAGAGAGAGGAGAAAUAGGCAAACUUGGGGCACCACCAUCCUUUGUUUUCUGCAACACAUUGGUUCCCUUCUUUCUGAGCAUCCUUCAGUAUUAGCUACAGGCCCCAAUGUCCUGUGAGCAAACAUGCGUUGGCUCAGCUCUUGGCCUGACCUCUAUACUUAUUGGCUUUCCUAAGGGCUUGAUGGCUCCGGAGGCUCCCUGCCGCCACUGCCCCAUGCCUUUGAUGAAGCAGAGAAGGAGUGCAAAGUUGUGAUGACAGAGGCCCUUUACACUAACCAUUCCCACUUCACUGGUUUUUUCACACUGACGGUCCAGUGUGGGAAAAUAAGAAGGAAAGGAAUUCAUAAGAGUUGAGCUUGGUCAUCAAGCGUAAAGUUUACUUCCAGGAAAACAAAGAAAAAAACCCCCAAAAUCCAAGAUGAAGAAGAAGAAGAAGAGGGUGACAAUGACAAAGAAAUGGCAUCAGUCAGAAAAUACUGCUUUUGGUUUCUUUUAACUUUGAAUCGUCCUUGGUUUUUCUCUCAUUCAACUGCUCCAGUUUAAAGUAAAGUUUAGAAUCUAGUGCAAAUAUCAUCACAUCAUACCAUUCCAGGAGCAAUACCGUAUCCCUUCAUCCUAAGUGAAUACUAUCCCUUCGGACCUCCUCAGAAGACUGGGGGCAAUGAUCCAGAAAAGCACAACUGAACAGAUUAUUAAUCUAGUACUCACUACAACAAGAAAGGCACUAUCACAACAGAUCAGCCUCAGCAUUUUCCUUGCCGUGGGCAUGGAUGUUUUAACCUCUCCACUAACCACAAUGAAACCCAGACUGUGGCUUUUUCAGUACUUGAAUCCACUGACCAGUUGUCUGACUUCCCCACUGGCCACUCCUCUUGGCUCUGGCCAUGCACAGCCCUGAUCUGCUCUGUGUCCAUGUUGCCCCACGUUUCACCAAUGAUCCUUGAGUGGUUCUAAAUGAUUUAGCUCACUCUCUUCCAUGGAGGUUUCUUUCUCUCCAUCAGUCUCCAGGUCAUCAUGACUCUAUUAAAGACUAGUUUACAGUGUCAGGUACUAUCGUUUAUUAUUUUUUUUCCUAUUUUUUAAUCCUCUAACCAAACCCUAAGUCAUAAAGACAGUUCAGUAGCUCCUCUAGCAACAAGUCUCUUGUCAAUAUCACUGUGAACAGAAUGAAAGCCAAAGUAUCACCCCCUGACCACCUUGAGCUUGCUGUAUUACUUCUGUUUGGGAGAGAGGAGGUUGGGCUCUGGAAAUUAAAAUCUUUGGUGACAAAACUGGAGUGGGUUUGCAAGUUUCAAGGAAGAAGUUAUUUUCCAAAAGCCUCAAGAGAAGUAACCUAGGACAGUUAAUGUGAAUGUAUUUUAAAAGGUCAAUUAUUUCUUUCUGUAACUUUGGUCUGGUAUAGUCAGUAUCUUCUCAGUGCUUACCCAACACACAGCUCUGUUAAGAGCUCUGAAUUUAGAGUUUCUUAUUUAAAAGGGAGAUAAUACUUUGAGUGCUUAAGGGAUUGCUUACGUUAGUUCUGAAAGCUCUAAAUGGAGUUUUUCUGCCUAACAAGGCUGACAGCUUCCUUCACCAUCUUUUAACUUGGAAAAGUAGACUUGGAAGGAUGCUAAGGAGGAGAGAGAAAGAGCUACCUAUCAAUGUAAGAGGUCUCAACGGAGAGUUUUCCCAAUUGAUGCCCCAACAUGACAGUGAUCAGAGAAACUCAACAUUUUACCCAUUGAUGUGGGUUGUGAUCCUUUCUUACUGAACCAGAAUCUUCAAAGCUGUCACCGUGGAUUCUGGAAGAAUCCUUCAGCAUCUUCACUCUUUUGUUAUUAUUCCCUAUACAAUCUAUUGCUUUUCCUGUGGUGAAAGAUUCUUUUAUUAAUAGUCACGAAAGAGCUGUCAAAUUCUAAUUAUUUCUAAGAUUUAGAAAGGCAAUAAAAAUAAAUCCAAUAAAGAAAAGUUGAAUAAAAGAAACCCAACAACUUCAAAACUAGGCUUUUAGGCACUGUUAAGGUCUUCUGCUUUAUAAGGGAUAGCCUAUGAUGGAGCAGCUAGCUAGUCAGGAGGUUUGGAUCAAUCCUCCAAUACAUCCUCCAAUUUCAAGGUUGGCCUAGCUUGUCUCAGAAUAAACCUUUUAUCUCACUGGUUUUCAAUGGUUAUUGCACUGUCCCCUUACUGUCAUCUUUAAAGGAUUUCACCACAUGCAUGGCCUUCCUCUUUGGUUAGCCUGAUCCAGGUUUCAGCCAGUGAUGGAAAAGCAAGCUCAGGCUGAAAGGAUAUCUCCAUUGUGGACAAGGUGAGGUUAUUCUAAGAGGAGGCCAUACCUCCGGGCCAAGGCGAAGACAUCUGGCCACCUCGGUUGGCUUCCUCACCAUCACAGCGCUUACUGAAGGCUUAGUUGGAGACGAACAUUGGGCAAACUUCUCCUUCAGCAUCUUCAGUUUACAGUACUAACUCAGCUUCUUUAUAACAAGAAAAUAGAUCCUAUCAGCGUGGCCGUUUCUAGGCCUGAUCAAGGGCUGGCAGCUUGCACAGAUUCUCACCAACCCUGCUAUGACCAAGCAUGAUGGAAAUAACCCUCCGUUUUUGUGGUGCUUCUAGUUUCAUAACUUGCCUCUUUCUUUCCCAUACCUCACACACUCUCUCCCGGCACAAGUAAAUACAUUUCAGUAGUGCAAUGCAGUGCAGUCAUAUUUAUUUAGU